CGCGGCCCCACCGCGAGGCCGGGAGGAAACUUCCACCCCUCCACUCCCUAGCCCCCUUGGCCUUAGCUCCCUGCAACCCCCACAACCAGGCAAAGCCCAAAUACAGAGACGCGGCUCUUGCUCUUGCCUCCCUCCCCACUGCGGGGGCUUCCCCUCCCUGGGGUGGUCUACCCCCGACACCCCUGGGCUGGGGGAGGACUCAGGCCUGGCCCUGCCCUGGUUGGGGGGUCGAGGGGGCCUGGAAGAGGUCUGAAAUUGGGGCUAGGAGAUGGCUCUGAGGUGCGUAGCUCCCGCCUACCAUGGAGUUGCAUCAAGACAGGACACCCACCUGACACUGGUAGAAAGGUGGAGGGAGACCCCCCAGAUGCCAGCAGUUUCGGGGGCAUGAAUUUGCCAGCGAGGCAGCAGGAAGCCCAAGUGCUAAAGCUCGUCCUGCUGGCAGGGGGCUAGGGACAGCAGCCAGGGAAUGAGGGGUCGUGAGGAGAGACAUGGAGCCUCUGCGAGGCUGGGGGCCACCCCCAUGGAGCCCGGCACCCAAGGCUGAUGCCCUGAGCCUGGCCUUGUAUCUCCUCCUUCUGGGGUCCCCCCGCUACACCCUGGCGACGCCCCAGUGCAAAGAGGAGGAGUACCCAGUGGGGACCGAGUGCUGCCCCAAAUGCAGUCCAGGU
This 668-nucleotide long non-coding RNA is filed under the name Equus caballus (horse). RNAcentral describes it as "lncRNA (ENSECAG00000039741.3)". The record is from RNAcentral. Lineage: Eukaryota; Metazoa; Chordata; Mammalia; Perissodactyla; Equidae.